AGCGAACGUUAGCGGGAGGCUUAACACAUGCAAGUCGAGCGCGAACGUCACCUUCGGGUGGCUAGUAGAGCGGCGGACGGGUGAGUAACACGUGGGUAAUCUGCCCUCUGGCGGGGGACAACAUUUCGAAAGGGAUGCUAAUACCGCAUAAGUCGGCCAGGUCUGCGGACCAGGUCGGGAAAGCUGCCUUCGGGUGGCACCAGAGGAGGGGCCCGCGUCGCAUCAGCUUGUUGGUGAGGUAAUGGCUCACCAAGGCGAAGACGCGUAGCUGGUCUGAGAGGAUGAUCAGCCACACUGGGACUGAGACACGGCCCAGACUCCUACGGGAGGCAGCAGUGGGGAAUAUUGGACAAUGGGCGAAAGCCUGAUCCAGCCAUCCCGCGUGAGUGAUGAAGGCCCUCGGGUCGUAAAGCUCUGUGGAGAGGGACGAAAAAAGCGUCGGUUAAUACCCGGCGAACUGACGGUACCUCUUUAGCAAGCACCGGCUAACUCCGUGCCAGCA
Molecule: ribosomal RNA, 502 nt
Filed under: uncultured bacterium
Lineage: Bacteria
Description: bacterial SSU rRNA
Rfam family: Bacterial small subunit ribosomal RNA
Source: RNAcentral